GACGAACGCUGGCGGCGUGCUUAACGCAUGCAAGUCGAACGGAAAGGCGCCUUCGGUGGUACUCGGGUGGCGGACGGGGGCGUAACACUUGCGUAACCUUCCCUUGACUUCGGGAUAACUUCAGGAAACUGGGGCUAAUACCGGUAAGGAAUCCUUUCUGCAUGGUGGGGGUUGGAAAGCUUCGGCGGGUUUUGAUGGGCUCGCGGGUUAUCAGCUUGUUGGUGGGGUAGUGCCUUACCAAGGCUUUGACGGGUGGCCCGCCUGAGUGGGCGACCGGCCAUACUGGGUCUUAGAGACGGCACCGACUCCUACGGGUGGCAGAAGGGGGGAAUCUUGCCCAAUCGGCGGCAGCCUGAUGCAGAAACGCCGCGUGCGGGAUGACGGCCUUCUGGUUGAAAACCGAUUUCAGCAGGGGCGAAGCUCGUGGUGACGGUACCUGCAGAAGAAGCACCGGCUAACUACGUG
RNAcentral lists this ribosomal RNA (465 nucleotides) under uncultured bacterium. RNAcentral's name for it is "partial 16S ribosomal RNA". It matches the Rfam family "Bacterial small subunit ribosomal RNA", at positions 28 to 507 of the family's 1533-position model. The record is from RNAcentral.